ACCCUGAUGCAGCGACGCAGCGUGCGGGAUGACGGCCUUCGGGUUGUAAACCGCUUUCAGCAGGGAAGAAGCGAAAGUGACGGUACCUGCAGAAGAAGUACCGGCUAACUACGUGCCAGCAGCCGCGGUAAUACGUAGGGUACGAGCGUUGUCCGGAAUUAUUGGGCGUAAAGAGCUCGUAGGUGGUUGGUCACGUCUGCUGUGGAAACGCAACGCUUAACGUUGCGCGUGCAGUGGGUACGGGCUGACUAGAGUGCAGUAGGGGAGUCUGGAAUUCCUGGUGUAGCGGUGAAAUGCGCAGAUAUCAGGAGGAACACCGGUGGCGAAGGCGGGACUCUGGGCUGUAACUGACACUGAGGAGCGAAAGCAUGGGGAGCGAACAGGAUUAGAUACCCUGGUAGUCCAUGCCGUAAACGUUGGGCACUAGGUGUGGGGGACAUUCCACGUUCUCCGCGCCGUAGCUAACGCAUUAAGUGCCCCGCCUGGGGAGUACGGUCGCAAGGCUAAAACUCAAAGGAAUUGACGGGGGCCCGCACAAGCGGCGGAGCAUGCGGAUUAAUUCGAUGCAACGCGAAGAACCUUACCAAGGCUUGACAUACACUGGACCGUUCUGGAAACAGUUCUUCUCUUUGGAGCUGGUGUACAGGUGGUGCAUGGUUGUCGUCAGCUCGUGUCGUGAGAUGUUGGGUUAAGUCCCGCAACGAGCGCAACCCUCGUUCUAUGUUGCCAGCACGUGAUGGUGGGAACUCAUAGGAGACUGCCGGGGUCAACUCGGAGGAAGGUGGGGAUGACGUCAAAUC
Molecule: ribosomal RNA, 800 nt
Filed under: Brevibacterium sp. PB42
Lineage: Bacteria; Bacillati; Actinomycetota; Actinomycetes; Micrococcales; Brevibacteriaceae
Description: bacterial SSU rRNA
Rfam family: Bacterial small subunit ribosomal RNA
Source: RNAcentral